Molecule: RNA transcript, 2734 nt
Organism: Vigna angularis (adzuki bean)
Lineage: Eukaryota; Viridiplantae; Streptophyta; Magnoliopsida; Fabales; Fabaceae
Gene name: protein NRT1/ PTR FAMILY 7.3
Exons: 6
Source: RefSeq, a predicted model, not a curated record
UCUUCUUCUAAAAGCCUUCACUCAUAUUAACACCUUCCUCUGCUUCACCUCUCUCACCUGCAUUCCUUAGCAGGUUGAGAAUUUAGCACAACUUUCUCUGUAACUUUAUCACUUUCACAUCACCAAUGGCCUGCUUAGAACUCUCCAAAGAGGUAAAGUUCAAAGAUGGCACAGAAGAGUUAACUCUUGAUGGAAGUGUUGACUGGCAUGGUCGUCCUGCAAUCAGAGCCAAAUCUGGGAGAUGGGUUGCUGGAACCAUAGUGCUCUUGAACCAAGGUCUGGCAACCUUAGCAUUCUUUGGAGUAGGAGUGAACCUAGUGUUAUUCCUGACAAGAGUGAUGGGGCAGAACAAUGCUGAUGCUGCAAACAGUGUUAGCAAGUGGACUGGCACAGUAUACAUCUUCUCUCUUGUGGGUGCCUUCCUAAGUGACUCUUACUGGGGAAGAUACAAAACUUGUGCCGUCUUUCAGGUCAUUUUUGUGAUAGGCUUGGUGUCCUUGUCCCUUUCAUCGUACCUCUCCUUGAUUAGGCCGAAAGGUUGUGGAAAUGAAACUAUUUCAUGUGGGAAACAUUCAAGCUUGGAGAUGGGGAUGUUCUACCUCUCGAUAUAUCUCAUUGCUUUGGGGAAUGGAGGGUAUCAGCCAAAUAUUGCCACAUUUGGAGCUGACCAGUUUGACGAGGAGCACUCAAAGGAGGGUUAUUCAAAGGUUGCCUUCUUUAGCUACUUCUACUUGGCUUUGAACCUUGGUUCACUCUUCUCAAACACAAUUCUAGGAUACUUUGAAGAUGAAGGAUUGUGGGCACUUGGGUUCUGGGCGUCUGCGGGUUCUGCUUUUGCUGCCCUUGUUUUAUUUCUUCUUGGGACCCCAAGAUAUAGACACUUCAAACCCAGUGGCAAUCCUCUUUCAAGGUUCGGCCAAGUCCUUGUUGCUGCAUUAAGGAAAUGGGGAGCUCAUACGACAUCAAAUGAAGAGGAUCUAUAUGUCAUGGAUGAAAAUGAAUCUCCCACUAAUGGCAACCGAAAGAUUCUUCACACCGACGGAUUCAAGUUUCUGGACAGAGCAGCAUUUAUAUCUACCAGAGAUCUAGAAGACCAAAAAAGAGGCCUUUAUAACCCCUGGCGUCUCUGUCCUAUAACUCAAGUUGAAGAAGUGAAGUGUAUACUAAGACUUCUUCCAAUUUGGCUCUGCACCAUAAUCUACUCAGUGGUUUUCACACAAAUGGCUUCUCUUUUUGUAGAACAAGGAGCUGCCAUGAAAACUACAAUUUCCCAUUUUAGAAUACCACCUGCAAGCAUGUCUAGCUUUGACAUCCUCAGCGUAGCUAUCUUCAUUUUCUUCUACCGUAGAGUGAUUGAUCCACUAGUGGGACGACUUAAAAAGACAAGUUCCAAGGGUCUUACUGAGCUUCAGAGAAUGGGAAUUGGGCUUGUUAUAGCUGUAAUGGCAAUGGUUUCAGCUGGAAUAGUUGAAUGCUACAGGCUUAAAUAUGCAAAAUCAGGAUGCCCCCACUGCAGUGGGACAAGCUCUCUAAGCAUCUUUUGGCAAAUUCCUCAAUAUGCACUUAUCGGAGCUUCUGAAGUUUUUAUGUAUGUAGGCCAGCUAGAGUUCUUCAAUGCUCAAACACCAGAUGGUUUAAAAAGCUUUGGAAGUGCCCUUUGCAUGACGUCCAUCUCUCUUGGGAACUAUGUAAGUAGCUUAAUUGUUAGUAUCGUUAUGAAGAUCUCCACCGAGGAUCACAUGCCAGGGUGGAUCCCUGGAAACUUAAACAGAGGUCACCUAGAUAGGUUUUACUUCCUCUUAGCUGCCUUGACAUCAAUAGACUUGAUCGUUUAUAUUGUAUGUGCAAAGUGGUUCAAGAGUAUACAGCUGGAAGGGAAAUACGAAGAGCAUGAUAUGCCUGGUAGCUAUAAAGUAUAAUUUGCGAUGAACAACCAACAAAGGCUACGAUAACAGCAUAUAUAAAUAAGAGAAAGAAGGGAUCAACUAGUCAAAUUAACUUGAGCUAUAGUUGCUCUCGGAAGAAAAAGUGGCUGGCUUCGGUUAGAGAAGCCCUUUUACCCGAGUCUCUUAUAACUAGUCAUUGUUUUCGUUUCAGCUAACGGUUUGUUUGGUUUGAGAAAACCUUUUUGUUUUCAUAUUUGUUUAUGCAAAUAAUUACUUAGAUGUUACCUUCUCUCCAUUUGUAUCCUUGCUUUCAAAAUUUUGUAUGGCAACCAGCUCUUGUACAAAAUUUUGAAAUCUAAAUAAAGUGGAAAUAAGGUAUCAUUUUUGUAAAUAUUUAUGAAACUGAACAUGAAAACAAUAAUCUUUUCACAAACCAAACAAAGUCCUAUAUUUUCAGUUUAUGUUUUUUAUGCAGGUUGUGUAAAACUAGAGUUUUUGAAGAGACAAUGACAGUUUCAGGGUCACUCUAAGUCUCCUUUCUUUGAGUCUUUCUAUUUACAGAUCCUACCUACUGUAUGUCUCUCCUCCCAGCACUAAGACAUGUUUUUAGCAUUCAUGCUUAAAGGUGGAACAGGACAAACGUUGCAAUCAUGGGCAAUCCCGUAAGUAAAAAACGAAGGGAUUUCUUAUACAUCCUAAUUUAGAUGAGUGACUGCAUGGCAUAGACAGAAUAACUUAUAAACAAUCAUUCCUAUUAAAAAAAUCAAGAGUCUGGUGUAAAGAUAUAGGAGAGAGUCAUUACAUGUAAUCUUUCACUUUAAUAUGUAAAAAUAUUGUUUCUAGAUUUA